GUGGGUGUAGUUCAGUGGUAGAGCCCAUGCUUAGCAUGCAUGAGGUCCUGGGUUCAAUCCCCAGUACCUCCA
This 72-nucleotide transfer RNA is filed under the name Camelus bactrianus (Bactrian camel). It matches the Rfam family "tRNA". Rfam says of the family: Transfer RNA (tRNA) molecules are approximately 80 nucleotides in length. Their secondary structure includes four short double-helical elements and three loops (D, anti-codon, and T loops). Further hydrogen bonds mediate the characteristic L-shaped molecular structure. tRNAs have two regions of fundamental functional importance: the anti-codon, which is responsible for specific mRNA codon recognition, and the 3' end, to which the tRNAs corresponding amino acid is attached (by aminoacyl-tRNA synthetases). tRNAs cope with the degeneracy of the genetic code in two manners: having more than one tRNA (with a specific anti-codon) for a particular amino acid; and 'wobble' base-pairing, i.e. permitting non-standard base-pairing at the 3rd anti-codon position. Lineage: Eukaryota; Metazoa; Chordata; Mammalia; Artiodactyla; Camelidae. RNAcentral also lists the same sequence under 3 other names. The record is from Rfam by way of RNAcentral.